This 67-nucleotide transfer RNA is filed under the name Allantus togatus. Its description in RNAcentral is "tRNA-Pro". The record is from RNAcentral. Lineage: Eukaryota; Metazoa; Arthropoda; Insecta; Hymenoptera; Tenthredinidae.
CAGAAAAUAGUUUAUAAAAAAUAUUAAUUUUGGAGAUUAAUGAAGUAAAUAAAUUUUAUUUUUCUGA